GCCAGGUGUGGUGGCGGGCACCUGUAAUCCCAGCUACUUGGGAGGCUGAGGCAGAAGAAUCGCUUGAAUCCGGGAGGUGGAGGUUGCAGUGAGCCGAGAUUGCACCACUGCACUCCAGCCUGGGUGACAGAGUGAACUUCUGUCUCAA
RNAcentral lists this non-coding RNA (148 nucleotides) under Nomascus leucogenys (northern white-cheeked gibbon). Lineage: Eukaryota; Metazoa; Chordata; Mammalia; Primates; Hylobatidae. The record is from Rfam by way of RNAcentral.